UGGGGCAUAUUGGACAAUGCGGGAAACCGUGAUCCAGCAAUGCCGCGUGAGUGAUGAAGGCCUUAGGGUUGUAAAGCUCUUUUACCAGGGAUGAUAAUGACAGUACCUGGAGAAUAAGCUCCGGCUAACUCCGAGCCAGCAGCCGCGGUAAUACGGAGGGAGCUAGCGUUGUUCGGAAUUACAGGGCGUAAAGCGGGCGUAGGCGGCUAUCCAAGUCAGGGGUGAAAACCCGGGGCACAACCCCGGAACUGCCCUUGAAACUAGGUAGCUAGAAUACUGGAGAGGUGAGUGGAAUUCCGAGUGUAGAGGCGAAAUUCGUAGAUAUUCGGAAGAACACCAGUGGCGAAGGCGACUCACUGGACAGUUAUUGACGCUGAGGUGCGAAAGCGUGGGGAGCAAACAGGAUUAGAUACCCCGGUAGUCC
RNAcentral lists this ribosomal RNA (424 nucleotides) under uncultured prokaryote. Its description in RNAcentral is "bacterial SSU rRNA". It matches the Rfam family "Bacterial small subunit ribosomal RNA", at positions 355 to 796 of the family's 1533-position model. The record is from RNAcentral.